GUUAUUUUGGCAGAUUAGUGCUAUAGAUUUAGAAUCUUUAUAUGUAAAAUUUUUACAAAUAAUA
Molecule: transfer RNA, 64 nt
Filed under: Phyllotreta foudrasi
Lineage: Eukaryota; Metazoa; Arthropoda; Insecta; Coleoptera; Chrysomelidae
Description: tRNA-Leu
Source: RNAcentral